UACCAAGAGCCUGAGAAACUGCUUGG
RNAcentral lists this non-coding RNA (26 nucleotides) under Homo sapiens (human). The record is from RNAcentral. Lineage: Eukaryota; Metazoa; Chordata; Mammalia; Primates; Hominidae.